GCCACUGCAUAUAUCACCCUGCAACUCACAACUGGCAACCCACUGAAGCUAAGCAGGUGUGAGCCUGGUCAGUACCUGGAUGGGAGACCUCCUGGGAAAAACUAAGGUUGCUGCUGGAA
Molecule: ribosomal RNA, 119 nt
Organism: Lepisosteus oculatus (spotted gar)
Lineage: Eukaryota; Metazoa; Chordata; Actinopteri; Semionotiformes; Lepisosteidae
Source: Ensembl